GGCUCAGGAUGAACGCUGGCGGCGUGCUUAACACAUGCAAGUCGAACGUGAAACCCGGUACUUGUAUUGGGUGGAAAGUGGCGGACGGGUGAGUAACACGUUGGUGACCUGCCCUGAGGAGGGGGAUAACCGUGGGAAACCAUGGCUAAUACCCCGGAUGUCUAAGAGGUUAGAGUGCUUAGACUAAAGCUCUGGCGCCUCGGGAGGGGCCUGCGGGCUAUCAGCUUGUUGGUGGGGUAAUGGCCUACCAAGGCUAAGACGGCUAGGGGGCGUGAGAGCGUGGCCCCCCACAAUGGAACUGAGACACGGUCCAUACUCCUACGGGAGGCAGCAGUGAGGAAUAUUGCGCAAUGGGGGAAGCCCUGACGCAGCAACGCCGCGUGGACGAUGGAGGCCUUCGGGUUGUAAAGUCCUUUUCUGAGGGAAGAUAGUGACGGUACCUCAGGAAUAAGUCCCGGCUAACUACGUGCCAGCAGCCGCGGUAAAACGUAGGGGGCGAGCGUUAUCCGGAUUUACUGGGCGUAAAGCGCACGUAGGUGGUGUCGUAAGUUGGACGUGAAAGCUCUUGGCUUAACUGAGAGAGGUCGUUCAAAACUGCGGCGCUUGAGGAUAGAAGAGGGGAGUGGAAUUCCCGGUGUAGUGGUGGAAUGCGUAGAUAUCGGGAGGAACACCAGUGGCGAAGGCGGCUCCCUGGUCUAUCUCUGACGCUGAGGUGCGAAAGCGUGGGGAGCGAACGGGAUUAGAUACCCCGGUAGUCCACGCUGUAAACGAUGGAUACUAGGUGUGGGAGGUCAUCUAACCCUUCCGUGCCGAAGCAAACGCGUUAAGUAUCCCGCCUG
This 839-nucleotide ribosomal RNA is filed under the name uncultured organism. Its description in RNAcentral is "bacterial SSU rRNA". It matches the Rfam family "Bacterial small subunit ribosomal RNA", at positions 21 to 875 of the family's 1533-position model. The record is from RNAcentral.